CCGAGGUUUGUAAUUCGUCUUUAUUGUUUAAAUUCACCAAAAAAUUUUUUCUGCAUAACUACAUCCAACAGCAUUCGUAUUUUGUCGUCACUGCGACUUCGACACCCGAGUGACAACAGUGUGACAUCAUCAGCGCCGCCACGACGUCACAGCAGCAUCGUGACGCGGCUCAAACGGCGGGAAAAAAAAACUCUGACAGUCGUCCGUCUCCGAGUCCGUUGCCGGUGAAAGCGUCUCGCCGCUACUCGUGUAAAGCACAAACAUUGCACAUCAACUUACAGCAUCGAGUCCGAAACCCUCCCGACCCUCUGAACAAGUCAAACUAAAGGUGAGUGGAGGCGAUUUUAUCUUCAUGAGUCUGUACAGUGAGUUAAAACAGGAUGAAACAUGAUUCAAAAACACAAACCUCAUACCUUCACUUGUUUUCCCUAAAGAUUCACAUCUAAUAUUUAUUAUUUAGAGAAGAAGGGGAUCUCAAAUAAACACCUGAACUGGAAAAAGACCUUAUUUAGUUUCACUUUAAGCUGCGCUGCAGCUAAAAUUUUACAUUUUCUGAGGUCAGAAGUCCAUUUAUUGAACCAGUCAGAAAAUGUGGGAAAAAAGAACAUUUUCAAAGUUAAUUUGACAAUUAAAACAUGUUUUCUGUCAAAACUCUCACCUAAAACUGUCAAAUUUUAGUUUUUCGACUCAAAAAAGAUCCAAAUCUGGCCAAAACACAUCAUUUUAUGUCUUAUUCUAUAAUGUAAACUCCUCAGUUACCAUCACUAGUAGCUACAAUCUUGUACUAAGGAUGCAAAAGUAUUUUAAAACUCCAAUUUAUUGGGAGAAAAAAGUUCAUAGAAGUGAAGCAGCAGCUAAGAUUUUCAUAAAUCUGAGGUCAGGAACCCAACUUUUGACCCACAACAGCUUGAAAAUGUUUCUUUCACCACAUUUCCUAUGUUAUUUCCACAUUCGAAACAUAUUUUUUUUAUAAAUCUAAAUGGUCAAAAUGCUGAAUGAAUCAUCAAUGUUAGAGGUCAAGAGAACAACUUUUGACCAAAGACAGCCUGAAAAUCAAUUUUUUUUCCACAUUUACUACGUUAAUUCUGCAAUUAAAACAUCUUUUCUGCAAAUCUCUCCUCUUCUAAAAGUGGUUUAAUGGGUGAAAAUGCAGUUUUAAAGCUGCCAGACUUGAUUUUUGGGCCUUAAACUGUCAAAUUUAAGCAUUUCGACUCAAAAAACAUUCAAAUCUGGCUAUAAAUCAUCAUUUUUGUCUCACUUUGUGACUUAUUUUAUGAUAUAAACGCUUCCUCUGAUCAGUUAUUAUCACCGGUAGCUACAAAAACUUCUUUUUUUAAAUGACAAUUUUGCAUUUCCAGUUCCAGGCUUUACAUAUUUCUACAACGUUUUGCAGAUUCAUGGGGUAAAACAGCAGUUGUGCAUCGAUUCCUCCAAACUUUGGGCUUUUUUUUUUUUUUUUUUAAUAUAAAAGUGCUCGUUUCAUGUUCAACUAAAUCUAUCUCAUCUAUUUUCACAUGUAUUUAUAUUUAUACCAUCUCUAUCUUUUCUAAUAUACUCUCAUUUGGCAUCAUUUUGAAACAACGCUGCAUGUCUUUCUGUCCACUUGGUGAAGGUAAGUUAUGGCUAUUUCCUCCUUUAGUACCAUCUAAGCGAUGAGGAGUUUUACAUACAGCGUGCUCCCACAAAUCCAGUCCUCCUCAGUAAAAAUGAGGCUCGAUAUACUUAAAAACCAUCACAUUCUCCAAAAGAAAUUGCAUUAUUCUCCAACUAUUAUGGCUAUUAGCUUUGCUCCAAACAUAAAUGAUGACAUUAGCUCGCUUCAACCUCUCAACCUGCUUCCUUUUUGGUGAUGGAUCGUGUUCGAAAUGUUGGGAAAAGUUACAAAAAUGGAGACAGAAUAAAGGAAGAUGGCAUCAGAACAAUGUCAAGCAAAGUUUCCCUCCCGCGCUAGCUUGCAUAAAUCUCUUCGUUAGAUCAUCUGCUAUGUACAGGAAUACAUUUAAUCAUUACAUAUACAGCCCUCACACUACACCGCAAUCCAACAUCGACCCGGCGGUUCCCCAAGAAAGACCAAAAAAUAACCCCAAAAAAAGUUCCUUAUACAGUAGAAUACAGUAGACACCUUUCAAGUAAAAGAACUGUUUUUUUAAGAGUUCACAGAAUCAUAGACUCGAGUCAAACCGGAGCUGAAAUCUCUUCGAAUGCAGCUUCUUUUUUUUUUUUUUUUUUUUUUUUUAAAGUCUGCAAAGCUACAAAUCACAGAACUGCAGGAUUUUGUCGGGUUUGACUCGAGUCUGCAGACAGAAACUUUAAUAAUCAGAUGAUGGACGGAACGUAGCGACUAAUCCUUUGUUUUUCGAGUCCGAUGAAGGAAAAAAGAUAAAAACGAAGAGUAGUUCUUUUUAAAAAGUACAGAAAUGCCAUCAACCACAGACAACUAAAGCCGCCGACUUCUCAGCCCUCCGAGAUAUUUUUUGCCUCAAAAUCAGGUGAAUGAAAGAACACUCACUGGUUUUCUUUUUUUUUGUACAAUAAUCCCAUUGAUAAUAAUAAUCAAUGCACAAAAGUAAAAGACAAAAGCACACAAAUAUCCAAAAACUGAAAUUGUAGACAGCUCAAGACGAGAGAUUUUUUUUUCCUUUUUCCUCAGAUUAUACUACUCGAGUAGUUUUAAAAUACACAUAUUAACCAGCCGUAGAAGGUUUACAUACUGUAGGAAUUUGGAUUCGUCAAUAAAAAGCACAGUUUCGAGACAGUCCGAGCAUUUUCCCAGCUUCGUGGUGGGGAAGAGAGUCCAGGACGGCUCAGCUCGGCUCGGCCCGGUUCGGUCCAGUUAUCACCGCUGUAACGGAGCAGCGCUGGCAGCCAUCGAGUGCUGGGUCAGAUGGCAGUUACUGUACGAUCAAUCAAUCAAUCAAUCAAUCAAUCGAUCAAUGGCUGGCAGAGUCGCUCAGCGCUGCGUUCUGUUCAGCUCAGCUCAGUUCAGCAGUGUCUCGGGCCUCCGCAGGACUCUGCAGAACCCGGUAGGUGGAGGCCGAGGGGCUCAGAAUACAGAAAGAUAAGAUGGGAUUAUGGCUGAAGGAGGUCCAGGAGGAACUGUGGGACGCUGGAGGGGAUUAGGAUGGAAGGACGAAGCCCAGGAGGGAAGAUGGAGCUCUGGAGAGAUUUCAGGGAGUUGGGGGUCCUCAAAGGUCCAAAGAGGCACC
Long non-coding RNA from Amphiprion ocellaris (clown anemonefish), 3206 nucleotides. NCBI's taxonomy places the organism in Eukaryota, Metazoa, Chordata, Actinopteri, Pomacentridae. The record is from Ensembl.